Molecule: ribosomal RNA, 408 nt
Filed under: uncultured bacterium
Lineage: Bacteria
Description: bacterial SSU rRNA
Rfam family: Bacterial small subunit ribosomal RNA
Source: RNAcentral
AACGAACGUUAGCGGCGCGCUUAACACAUGCAAGUCGUGCGAGAAAGGGAGCAAUCCCCGGUAAAGCGGCGCACGGGUGAGUAACACGUAGGUAACGUGCCCCCAGGUGGUGGAUAACCUUCCGAAAGGAGGGCUAAUACAGCAUAAGACCACGGCUUCGAAAGGAGCUGAGGUCAAAGUCGGCCUCUAUUCAUAAGCUGACGCCAGGGGAUCGGCCUGCGGCCCAUCAGGUAGUUGGUAGGGUAAUGGCCUACCAAGCCUAAGACGGGUAGCUGGUCUGAGAGGAUGAUCAGCCACACUGGAACUGAGACACGGUCCAGACUCCUACGGGAGGCAGCAGUGGGGAAUCUUGCGCAAUGGGCGAAAGCCUGACGCAGCGACGCCGCGUGAGUGAUGAAGGCCUCGGUU